Molecule: long non-coding RNA, 813 nt
Organism: Oncorhynchus tshawytscha (Chinook salmon)
Lineage: Eukaryota; Metazoa; Chordata; Actinopteri; Salmoniformes; Salmonidae
Source: Ensembl
UCUCUGUAAAUGUUAAUAAAUAGAGUUUAAUCCAGUCACAAUGUCUCUGUGUCGUCUUGGUUUAAUCUUUAACCCAGAAUAGAACCGAGCAGAAUCCAUCCUGGUAUUCAGACUAACCAGUAACCAUGACAACAUACUGGCGGGAGCUCCAGGCUGCAGUGUGUACGUCUGGCCACAGGGUGGCGCUGAGGAGAGAGAGAAUGUACUACAUUAUAAACUGGUUGGUUCGAGUGCUGAUUGGCUGAAUGCCAUAGUAUAUCAGACAGUAUACCACAGGUAUGACAAGACAUUUGAUUUUUUUACUGCUCUAAUUACAUUGGUAACCAGUUUAUCAUAGCAACAAGGCACCUCAGGGGUUUGUGGUAUAUGACCAAUAUACCACGGCUAAGGGCUGUGACCAGGCACUCCGCGUUGUGUCGUGCUUAAGAUCAGUCUUUGGUAUAUUGGCCAUAUGCCACCUCCCCUCUGGCCUUAAUGCUUAAAUAUGCAGUUAUAUAUGGUCUCUAUGGAAACAAGGGCCCUUAUACAGCCUACUGUAGGUAGUCUACCUUGGUAGUUAUAUAUGGUCUCUAUGGAAACAAGAGCCCUUAUACAGCCUACUGUAGGUAGUCUACCUUGGUAGUUAUAUAUGGUCUCUAUGGAAACAAGAGCCCUUAUACAGCCUACUGUAGGUAGUCUACCUUGGUAGUUAUAUAUGGUCUCUAUGGAAACAAGAGCCCUUAUACAGCCUACUGUAGGUAGUCUACCUUGGUAGUUAUAUAUGGUCUCUAUGGAAACAAGGGUCCUUAUACAGCCUACUGUAGGUAGUCUACC